Molecule: long non-coding RNA, 6292 nt
Organism: Mustela lutreola (European mink)
Lineage: Eukaryota; Metazoa; Chordata; Mammalia; Carnivora; Mustelidae
Exons: 4
Source: RefSeq, a predicted model, not a curated record
UUUGCAUGUGGCUAAAAGCCAGAAUGAAAAUCGCCGCAGAGAUGGGAAUUCUUAGGAAAUUCCCCACAAACAAAGGCGAGGGAUGGAAAAUAAUACAUUUGCCAGAUCAGUGGCUUCAUUCCACAUACCCAAGGCUAUGUUCAUCUGCUCUAGCAAAAAUGCCACAUCUGGUAGAGCAGCUGCAUUGGGGCUUGAUGGAAUGGCAGCCAUCUAAACUGCCAUCCUUCAGGAUCUGUCUGCUUUUUGCAGGGGUCAGACUGAUGACUUAAAUGGAGGAAAAGGAAGGCAGCUCAUUCUCUGAGCGUGGUUUCUGGACCAUCCACAUGAGAAGAAGAGCAGUCUGCACCAGCUCCUCUCCACAGACUGGAACAUCGGAAACCUUCACCUCUACUCUGCUGGAAUAUUCCUACAGCAAGUUUUUAAUGGUUCAAGCUAGUCAUGGUGUUUUCUUCUUGGCUUUCUUGUUCACCUGUUUCCAGCAUUGCAUAUUCUCAUAAUGUUUUGAUGUCUUUUGUUUUAAUUUUCCUGUUUUAAGUUGUAUUUUCCAUAUUGUAUUAAACAUCUUUUGAGGUAGCCUCCUAGGCCAUGAUCCCCUUCUUCUGAGAGUUGUUUCCCCUAAUCUCAAGUGAGAGCCUUGUUUGCCCUGUAAUUCUUUAUAGAUGUCCCAUGUAAUCCUUAACAAAACAAGUGCUCCUUAGUUUUAAAAAAUUUUUAUUAUUUAGUGUAGAGAGGGAGAGAGAGAGAAAACACAUGGGUUGGAGGAGGGAUAGAGCGACAAGCAGACUCCCUGCUGAUCAUCAUGGAGCCUGGAGUGGGGUUUGAUCCCAGGACCCUAAGAUUAGGACCUGAACCCAAGUCUGCUGCAUACCGACUGAGCCUCCCACAUUCCCCUCUACUCCCUAACUUAUCAAUUGAUAAACCCGGAUUUUCUUAUGGAGGUUUAACCUAUUAGUAGGAUAAAGCUUCUUACUAAUACUCACAAGAGGAUUGCCUUCAUGUUGGUAGUUAGAUAGACAGAUAUACAUAUAUACUCAUGUAUCUGUGUAAAUUCGUGUAUAUUACACAUAUUUGAAUGGGACCCACCAGUCCAUCUCACUGCUUGGCAGAGUGAGGGGAAACCCAGCUGAAACUGACAUAAGCACAAACAUGAAUUCCUGGGCUUCUGUAACUGAAACAUCAAGGGCAGACUUAGCUUCAGGAAUGGCUGAAUCCAGGCACUCACAAUACUUAACUAGGAAUCUGUAGCUCAGCUGUUUUCCUCUGUGCUCUCAGGCAGGCUUUCCUGACCUAACAAGUCCCAGCAGCCCCAGGCUUACAUCCCACUGGCUGGAAACUUUGGUGAAAACAGAGCCAAAAUGGGUGGUAGGGUCUCACUGAGAUGACUUGGUUCAUUUUCCUAACUCUGCUCCCAACUACAAUCCCCUUUGGCCCUAUAGAAUGGGAAUGGAAAGGGGAUAGUUUUCUGCUAGAAAAUUACCAGAAGAAGGGAGGUGGAUGCCAAGUUGCCCACAGCAGGUGUCCUCUCUAAGAUUUCACUUCCCUUUCUGCUCCCUUGGGAUCUCUCAGUAGUGGACAAGCAUCUCCCGCUGGGGCCUGGGUUACCAAGUGCCCACUGAAUUCCCAACUCAAGACUGAAAGUGCCUUUUGAAAGUGAAACAAUGAGGUUGUUUCUUACGGAGCUUUAAAAAAAUACUUCCUCCUCCACUCCCCGCUUGAAUUUAAUCUUUUAUAUUUCCAUCAGAAAUAAUUUCUAGUGUUCUUUCAUCUGCAAAUAAGAGCUGAUGUUGUCUUUGUCUGCAUGUAUUAUUUAUCAUUCAAUUCAUGGUGUGUCUUUGUGGAUCAGCCUGUGGGUGUAUGUGCCUGAAUUUAAAUGAAAAUUUAUCUGUGUGGUCAAAGAACUCGUUUAGGAAAUCAUCUCCCAGAAGAGGCUGGGAAGGCAGCAGCUUGGCCUUGUGCUGGGUCUGUUGGAUCUCCAGGGGGCAGGGAGCACUUAUCAGCUCUAAGAUCAGCAGGCAGUGGGGAUCUAGAAGCAGUGAAGGCAUUUUAUGGAUCAAACACAGCCUCAGUUCAGCACGAUGAAGGGUUUCUCGAUUACAUGACGGCGAUGAUGGAGAGUGGAUGGUUAGCUUGCAUCUCACAACUGAUGAGAACUCACUGUCCAUUCUCUUGCUUCAUGGUUUAUAAUUUCUCCAAAAGGAACAAUUGCAAGGAGAAGGAGCUGAAAUAUAAUUCACUAAUUCUUUUCUACUUUUAAGUGGUUAUGGGUUUUUGUAGUUUGUUGGUAGGAAUUGAAGGCACUGUUUGCACAAAAAAUAAAAAAAUAAAAAAAAAGCUUGACAGCAAGUAGCCAGCUUCUGAAAAUAAUAUUCUCCCGACCCUCAUCAAAGGGCUUCUAUCCCCAUGGCAACAGGCAAACUCAUGGAUGGAAGCUGGAGUGACAAGCAUCUCAGAGACCUUUCGCUCACUCUGCGGACCCUUGGUUUGGUUUUAUUUGUCCCGGCUGGAAACCAUCCAGAGGGGCAGCCGUUAACAGCCCAUGCCCUUGGCACUGCAGGCUAAAUGCAGAGGCGCCCAGACUUUACCUUGAUAAAUCCCUGAGUGCAGAGCUUCUCUUUGGAUGCACCUUUGAAGCAAUUUUACUAAAAGGCCAGAUGCUUUUUUAAAAGAAUCACAAGUUGGACAUUUUCCUUUACUCUGGUUGAAAUGAAAUUUUUAGGCAAAACUCCACAAAGCGGGUUCGGUUACUUUCCCUUCCUUCUUCCCUUCCCCAAAUAUAAACGGAGUGAAUGAAAUACAAGCCGAGCUGCUGCCAAACCGGAGAGACCAGGGUCGGGCAUGAAUAGCGACAACACGUGAAGGCGUGGCCGGCGUGCUCCCCACAGCCUGGUGGCACACACGACAAUUCAUACCGGGCAUUGUGGCCUAAUAAACUGGAAGGAAUGUCAAACAACAAGAAUUCCCUUUGUGACUCUCAUUCAAGAACGCAUUUCCACAUCAAACAAGUCUGUAGAGUAUUGUGCCUUGUGUGUGUUAUUGGACAGGCUGUCCCUAUAAAUGCUCCCGGCACCUGUGCUGUAUGUGAGUGACGACCCCACAAAUAGGAUUGCUUUUCCUUAGCCCCUUUGUUUCCUUUCUUCCUCCUGCCCCUCCUGUCUUCCUUUUGUACUUUUUAGAGACUAUCUUUUGUCCCUUACUUCAUGGUGACUUAUGUUCAUUCUUGAUGAAGAACAUCCUCCCCUUAAAUUUCACCACAGAGAAAUGUUGUAGAUUUCAGAACGACUCACUCCCGGCUCAGGGUGUGGAGUAUGUUCCUGAUGGGAACCCCCUUUCGGCGCUGGGAGUGCUUGUUAUCUUUUCUCCUUCGGGGGACAGGGCUCACAGACAGCCUUUUCUUUGUUGCACGAACACACAUUUCUUGGAUGUCAGAUGGGCUGUGCCUUCUAGAGCCCCCAUCAGGUGCCAUAGAGUUGGGUGGUUGUGGUCAAGAGUGUAGACAGAGUGUUCGGGCUACCAGGGUUCAAGCUAUAGCUCUGCCAUGGACACAUGGUGGUACUUUGGCAAAUCAUUCCUCUCUGUGCCUUCAUUUGCUCCUCUUUGAAACAGGGACAACAUACGCCAUAGGGCCAUUGUGAAAAUUCUGCAUUGACUUACAUCAAGAAUCCAGAACAGUGCUUGGCACUGGGUAAACUACACAUUAGGGGGAGCUGUUAUUAGAGAGGGUUAGUACGGUGGCUAACAUCUUUUAAAUGUCUAUUAGGAACCAAGGAUUGUGCUAAGUAAGGGUUUCAUAGGAAUUUUCACAUCUAAUCUACACAAAGCCCCGAGGGGUACAUACUCUUACUACUGUGGUCUUGCAGAGGAAGAAACUCAUUAUCUGAUGUCCGUUGGUGAACUAGUAGCAGAAACAAGGUAUUCACCUGGUUCUGUGUGGUACUGAGGCACAUACACUUAGUGAUUGCAAGUGGGUCCUCCCCAUGAAUGUUGGUGUGCUCACACCUCUCAGGUUCCCAGCCUGGGGAAAGCUUGGCUAAUUUCAGAGAAGGAUCCAAAGCCACAUUAAGGGAGUUGAGUUGGUAGUGUCUUGAAAGGGUCCUUCUCCUCCCUGAAAAUCCAGCCCUCCGUUCUAGUAAAAUCAUUUUGGUGGUCAUCUGUGAGGACACCGAAAGUAAAUGAGUCCAGAACACAAAUUCUGAUGAGAGCGAGAAGGGGCAGGAAUAGGGGCUCUCCACAGGGGAGAGCCUGGGCAGGUGGGAGUACUUGAAGGUGGCAAACACCUGAGAUUGUCUGGGAGCUCGUGCAUGAAGAAGAUGUCAGACAACAGAACCAUUGAGAAUCACUUUUGUUUUAUAGCUUUGCUUAGUUCUGGCAUUGGGUACCCCAGGAAAGUUCUGGGAGCCAAUGUCUCUUGUCCUCAUGCACCAAAUCUCAGCCUUGCACGUGCCAUCUAUUCUUUGGGGGUAUUUGGUACUGUUGUUGUGUUAAAUUUCACCCUGUUAAAAUAACUUCUGUACUAAUUUUAAAAAACCCUCCUGGGAAAUUGGGCUGUCUAAAAAUUGAAGCUGCCUUUUGUUCUUUCCCUCUUUAGCAUGCAUAUUCUGGCUAACAGAUAACCAAACCCCAGCCUCUCAAUAAACUCAGUGGACCGCUCUGUCUAGAAAUGAGUAUCUCUGUAUUUAUAGGGAGCCAUCCCCUACCCCUCACCUUUUAUGCCAUUUGUAGGUCUGUCUCAAUUCACAAAGGAAACAUUGCAUUCUCUUUUUCUAAUGGACAAUGGCAAAGGAUACUGGCUAUUGCCAAAGCAUUUUCAGAUGCCCGGCAAUGAGGCAGGUUGGUUUUCUGGACACCAGACUUCUGUUCAAGGUCUUGGCCCCAUCUUCCUUGGUGCCCUCCAGUCACGUUACCUCCACAGAAUAGGCUCCAACUGUCAUGCUUCUACAUUUAUCUGCUAUUCCCGUGAGCAUGGCAUGAAGAUGAGUCUCAUUUUUCCCAACUGUAAAAUGAGUCCAACAGCAGUAACCAGUGCACAGACCUUCGGUGAGGAUUAAAUAAUAAAACACAGAGCAUCUCAUCCAGGAGGAACGUCUCAUCCCGGAGGAGCAUCUGUCCCAGAGGAGCAUCUCAUCCCUUAGGAACAUCUCGUCCGGGAGGAGCAUCCAUCCCAGAGGAGUAUCUCAUCCGGGAGGAGCAUCCAUCCCAGAGGAGUAUCUCAUCCGGGAGGAGCAUCUGUCCCAGAGGAGUAUCUCAUCCGGGAGGAGCAUCUGUCCCAGAGGAGCACUCAGUGAACAACAGAUAGUAUUCUCCCUCCAGUCUUGUUGGAUCCUGGUCGUGUGUCCUCUUAAGUGCCACAGUUAUAAAAAGGUAUAAACUCUUUCACCGUGGACACACAAGGAGAUUAUCACAAGCAUGCUGCUGGAAACCAGCCUUGGCCACAUCUGCUGUCUGUGACGUUGUUGGUGCUCACCACACCAUACCUCGCCUCAGUGAGCACGCAGCACAGCCUGUCAUCCACAGAUGAAUCAGUCUGUGCAGCCUCAAGUCUCUGAGCACCCACGAGAUUGUCAGCAGGGAGUAUCUGCAGCUGCCUCGUGCAACAGAAAAGGGAAAUGUUGAGAAACAGGAAUCUGGGGCAGUUUCUGCUUUGAAUUUGGGCCUGAAGCUAAUUUAAAAGGCUGCCAGAAAUCUGGAACCACUUUGCUGGCUGGAAAUUGUUGGUGAAAGUGCAGAAAAGAGUGUUUCCUUUUUCUCGAGGCCAGUUUGUAACAUCCUGGAAACGGCCCUUGGAUCCCAAAGUCUCUGCUCCCUGUGCGCUGAUGUCUUCAUUGGGGCCAUGUUCUCUUUGUCGGGCUGUCUUCUCCCCCAGAUUGAAGUUAACCUCAACCUCAUUACCUUCCUUCAAGUCUUGCCUGUUAUCCCACCACGCCAUCCCCCAGUAACUGGAACAGUGUUGUCAAUCUUCUCCUUCAUUCUGGCUCCUGGAAUUCAUUACCAGCCUUUCCCCCUUCCCCAGAGAUGACCUGAAGACUCACCAGCAUCAAAAUGAUCUUCCUCCAAAGUGCUUAUUAAAUGACUCUUUACAUGCAGUGCUGAGCUGGGCAAAGCACCAAGUCAGUUCAGGGAGCAAGGUCCAUGCUCCUCGGGGUGUUGCCCUUCUGUAAACAACAACAUGGAUAGAAUGCUCAAGACUUUUGGUUUAGGGGAGCUGGCUGGCUCAGUGGAGCGUGCGACUCUUGAUCUCAGACUUUUGAGUUCGAGUCCCAUGUUGGAUAUGGAGAUUAUUUAAAAAUAAAAUAAA